RNAcentral lists this unclassified non-coding RNA (332 nucleotides) under soil metagenome. RNAcentral describes it as "partial contains 5.8S ribosomal RNA, internal transcribed spacer 2, and large subunit ribosomal RNA". The stretch from base 1 to 120 matches the Rfam family "5.8S ribosomal RNA", at positions 35 to 154 of the family's 154-position model. The record is from RNAcentral.
GAUGAAGAACGUAGCAAAAUGCGAUAAGUAAUGUGAAUUGCAGAAUUCAGUGAAUCAUCGAAUCUUUGAACGCACAUUGCGCCCGCCAGUAUUCUGGCGGGCAUGCCUGUUCGAGCGUCAUUUCAACCCUCAAGCACAGCUUGGUGUUGGGACUCGCGUUAAUUCGCGUUCCUCAAAUUGAUUGGCGGUCACGUCGAGCUUCCAUAGCGUAGUAGUAAAACCCUCGUUACUGGUAAUCGUCGCGGCCACGCCGUUAAACCCCAACUUCUGAAUGUUGACCUCGGAUCAAGUAGGAAUACCCGCUGAACUUAAGCAUAUCAAUAAGCGGAGGA